RNAcentral lists this ribosomal RNA (223 nucleotides) under uncultured Lactobacillus sp. RNAcentral's name for it is "partial 16S ribosomal RNA". It matches the Rfam family "Bacterial small subunit ribosomal RNA", at positions 147 to 354 of the family's 1533-position model. Lineage: Bacteria; Bacillati; Bacillota; Bacilli; Lactobacillales; Lactobacillaceae. The record is from RNAcentral.
CACCUGGAAACAGAUUGACUAAUACCGGAUAACAACAGAUAGAUGCCUAUCAACUAGUUUAAAAAGUAAUGGUUCUGCUAUCACUACUUGGAUGGACCUGCGGUGCAUUAGCUAGUUGGUAGGGUAACGGCCUACCAAGGCGAUGAUGCAUAGCCGAGUUGAGAGACUGAUCGGCCACAUUGGGACUGAGACACGGCCCAAACUCCUACGGGAGGCAGCAGGC